This 5766-nucleotide long non-coding RNA is filed under the name Sus scrofa (pig). Its description in RNAcentral is "lncRNA (ENSSSCG00050034213.1)". The record is from RNAcentral. Lineage: Eukaryota; Metazoa; Chordata; Mammalia; Artiodactyla; Suidae.
GCACCUUUCUUACAUUCUAAGGUCAAAGCAAGUCUCCAGGCCAGUCUAGAUUCAAAUGGUUGAAGAAAGAGCUCCCACCUCUUUAUUAGAGUAGCAACAAUGUGACACUGCAAAAGGGGAUUAGGAAGAUAGAGAAGUGAGUCCUUGGGAACCAUUGUUAUAAUGAUAUAUCACAUGCUUCAUUAAGGGAAAUUGUAAAAAUUAAUAAUUUACAAGUUUCUAACAACCUGCAUUUAUUAACAUAGAACUAGAAGAUCCAGACUGUGUCAGUCAUCAAACAUACAUAUAUUGAGACUCUACUGUUUGUUGAUCCUAAGGAAUCAAAAUAUGUAACUCCUUAUCUGAAGCAAGAAAUAUUCUUUUUUUUUUUUUUUGUCUCUUCAAAUUCAAUCUUUUAGGAUCAGUAAAUGAGUGUUCUACGUAAAUAAACAAAACAACAGGUAUUUUUCGAGUGCCUUUUGUGCUUAGGAUUCUGCUAUUUAUCCCUGAGAUGCUUUGCUAAGAGAUAAAUGUGGCAGCUCCUAUAAGUUAUUGAUGCUCUCUGCAGAUGUUCCUACAGAUCUUACACUCUCAGCAUUAAAAUAUGCCCUCAGGGUGUUUGAUAGGGCAUCUGAGUCCUGUUUGGCUCCACCUGCCUUUCCUAUUACACACUUUACCAUAUGGCAAAGAUGCCAGAGUGAGCUCUCAUGUCUUAAAAUAAUUGGAGUAAGUGUCAGAAGGAGGUUAUGAAAUUGUCUGUCUAUACUUUAUGUGCUAAACAAAGUAUUGAGUAUUAGAUUUCAGAGACCUGAAUAAGACAUAAGACAUAGACUCAUACAGUGGGAAGGAAAAUACAAAUUAUCCAACCACCCCUCUCAUUUGAAAGAUAAGAAAUUGAGACUCAGAGACUAUCAAGUGAUAUGCUCACAUUAAAGUAUCUAUUUAGCAGUUGACUUGGAACUACAAUCUAGGAAGGCUGUCUGAUGUUUUUUCUGCUGGUGCCUGCCAUCUUAAGACCUUAAUACUUGAGAAAGAGAAAUGAUGAUAUCAAAAUUUUAUUGAGAAUUAACUUUGUGUCAAGCAAUGUCCCAAACUUGGAUUUUCUGUGACUCCUCACAACCACUGGAGAAGUGGGCAUUUUUAGAAUUCCUAUUUAGAGAGGAGGAGAUCUUAAGUAACUUUCCCAAACUUCCAAGACUAAAAAUUUCAGAGGCAGAUUAUCAUUCAGGCAUUCUUACUCUAGAGACUGUGCUUUUAGUCAUUGUGCUAGUCGAACUCUGUGAAUGAGAGUGACAAUGCUUAAAAGGCCAGAGGAGACUGGGAGCUUGCUGAGUUUACAGUGGAAAUCUUUAGGUCCUGAGUGAGGAACUAUGCUGGAGACAGAGGCCAGGCACCUCUUGGGGGAGGACACAGAGCCAGCCUCAUGGUAGUUUGAAUGAAUUCCAAUUUCUUGGUGAACUGACAAUUCAGUAGAAUAUACAUUAUGAAUUUUUCUCUUGCACUGAAGACAUUGCUGACAACAUGAAUGAAUUAAUCUAGACAUUCUAUGGCAUGGGCAAUAAAUCUUUUUUUUUCAUAUUCUACUUUAAAAAUGAUUAGAUUUGUGGUCCAUUCAUUCACUCAUUGUUUCAUUCAAGAAACUGAGCAUCAGUUUUGUGCAAAAAGACAUUGUAUUAGGCAUGGAGCCACUUCAGGGUUACCUUUGGAAGCUGUCUACCUUUUUGCUCUGAUUACAUCAUCAUAUUUGCCAUGGCUCAUGGUACUUUUAACUUUCGUUUUUGUGAGGUAACAACCAAAGUUUGCAAUUCUUAUUUAAGUUUCCAGCACAAAAAAGAUUAGAAAGUCAUCUGUCUCACAUGAUUUUUUUAAAAAAAUAAAUUUCAUUGGAGUAUAGUUGACUUACAAAGCUAUGUCAGUUUCAGGUGUACAACAAAGUAAAUCAGUUACACAUAUCCAUUCCUUUUCAGAUUCUUUUCCCAUACAGGUUAUUACACAGUGUCAAGUAGAUUAUCUUGUACUAUACAUUAGGUCCUUUUACCUAUACAUUUUAUAUAUAGUAGUGUGUAUAUGUCAAUCCCAACCUUCCAAUUUAUCCCCCACCAGGUUUCUCCUUUGGUAACUAUAAAUUUUGUUUCAAAAUCUUUGAGUCUGUUUCUGUUUUAUAAGUUAUUUUGUAUCAUUUUUAUUACAUUCUACAUGUUACUGGUCUCAUAAGACAUGGAAGCAACAUAAAUGUUCAUCAGCAGAGGACUGGAUAAAGAGAUGUGGUACAUACAUACAAUGGAAUAUUACUCGGCCAUAAAAAUAAUGAAAUACUGCUAUUUGUAGCAACACAGAUAGACCUAGAAGUAAUAAUACUAAGUGAAGUAAGUCAGACAGAGAAAGAAAAAUAUCAUAUGGUUUUUGAUUUCCCGUUUUUAAAACAAUUCCAGAAAGCAGGAACACAAAUCUGUCCUUAGUUAAUUUGAAUGAAAAGCUGUUGUACCAGUGAGUACCUGAUGUAGCAAUGAUAUGUAAUGGCUAAAACAUGAAGUAAGUUUGUUUCUGGCUUGUGUAAAAUCCCAACUGAGUAUUUCUGGUAAAUAGGCGAAUCUCUUCAAGUGUUAAUAUAGAUGCCCAUUUCUUCUCAAGGUGGUUGCACAUGUCCACAUCAAGCUGGCAGAAGAGGGAGGAGCAUGGCAGUUGUCACAUAUGUGGUGCUUUUAUGGGUAGACAUGGAAAAACCUAACUGUGAAGGAGCCUGGAAAAUGUAUAUCACUGUAUGCCUAGGAGAAAAAGGAAAUAGUUGAAAAGAGGGGAAGGACUGUGAAAGCCUUUGACUUAAUCCACUUCUCUCUUAAUACACUAACUUUUCUUUAAACCUGCCCGUUUUCUUGAAUAUCUGGUAAAUAUUUACACAUUUUAGUUUUUCAUUUCAGAAAAUUCAAGAAUUACAUUGUCAAAUUUCUUUUGAAAUCAUGUUCAAUGUUUUUACUUUAUAGAUGAGAAAUAUGAGGUCCAGAGAGAUUAAAUAACUUGCAUAAGGUCCCAUGGCUUGUAGGUGACAGGACUAAGACUAGAGCUCAGAGAUUUCUUGUUUUUUCUCCUUCAUAUAAAUUUGAAAUAAUAUCAAUAAUAUCUUCCCAAGCCCUUAUUAUGUUUUACAUUUUAGCCUCACACAGAACAGUUUUGUUUAAUUCCUUUUGCAGCGACCCCAAUAUGAAUAUUUUAAUUAAUUUUAUUUAUCAUUUAUUGUUUGUUUUACUUUUUUUUCUUCAUCGAAGAGGUUCUCACUAUAGCCUUUAGAUGGCACAAGUUAGCUAAUCCAAGGCUGUUUUGUAGCUACAAUAAUUAUAGAAGUUUGAAGAAAAGUUAAUGGAAAAUGAGAGCAUUGAAUAAUAAUUUAAACAAAGUAACAUGUGUUAUCCGCAAAGUCUGCCUGCAUGAAGAAUAAGUCUCUGAACUGGUCUUUAUGUACGAGAGGCUAAUGUUUAGAAAUUUUCUAGUUCUCUAAUUUUGCCAGUGUUGGGUGUCAUUUGGAAUAAAUGACUUUGGGGACAGAUUUGGGGAUAAGAAUUAUCAUGGGAGAAGGCUUUCUGAAUUGGAUUGAAUAUAAAUCUGAGAGGAAGGAAGCCUCACUUUCCCAUAAGUUCUCAAGCAUUCAGGACAAGUUUUCUGUCAGAAUUAUGCUAAUUAUUGCAGAUUCUUAUGGCAUUUGGUAAUUAUUUAUCCCACCAGGUUGUUCCGAAAACCUGUGUAAUGAUGUCUGGAAAUCUGGUAUUUUAUGUACCAUUGUAGGAUGGUGCUGCAGCAGAAUGCUUUGCACCUAUUAGGGAUAUAGCAAUUAUUUGCAGAAUUGAAUUUUCCCAUUUGAUUUUCUUUUCCUCAUUCUUAUCCUCGGAAGGGUUAUACAAUCCCUUCUUCAGAUGGCGAGGAAAAGUACUAUUUACCCAGUGCCUCUUAUGUUGACCCACACCCUUGCAGCCAGUGUGAGGGUAGGAUUCCUAGGAUGGAAAAUCUGCUUUCUAUUGAGAUCUAAUUCAACUCUGCAGACAAUAUUCAGCCAAAGGAAAAAACAUAAACACAAGAGGUAAUAUAAGACUAAAAUACUAUGAUAUGUGAAUAAUUAUUUCUUUUGCUCUGAACAUGAGCAAAUAACCAUUACAUAUAUAAGUAGAUAAAACUGUAUUGAAUUGAAGAAAGACAUGGUAAAAUGUUCCUCAAGUAUUCAGUGUGCUCUUUGGCUUCACUGUCUCUAAUUUUCAAAAGUCUAUGAUUUUAUAUUAUUUUAAGAAAUUUUAAAAUUUUUAUUAUAGUUGAUUUACAGUGUUGUGCCAAUUUCUGCUGUACAGCAAAGUGUAUAAAUACACACACAUUCCCUUUCUUAUAUUAUCUUCCAUCAUGGUCUAUCCCAAGAGGCUGGUUCCUGGGCUAUACAUUUUAAAUAUAAUAGUUUGCAUCCACUAACCUCCAACUCCAGAAAAUUCUGUGAUUUUAUAAAGAAUAUUGGAAUCAGUUGGAGUUUGAAUAUGCUAACUUCAUUUUUUUGGACAAUGUCAGUUUCCAGGUUUAUGUAAAUAACAAUGUGAAAUAGGCAAAGCUAAUCGUUGGUGUUUUUGGACUCAACGUGGUGAGUCACUUUUCAUUCUGUGUGAUAUCACUAACCUCAUUUCACUCCCAGUAGCUAAAGUCUUCUUAUUCUCUUUUCAUAAUUUUGACAAAAUCCACUCUCUCAACCUUCACAAUAAAGCAUAUAUGACUGAUACUGGCCUCAAUCGUUUCUGAUAUCCACUGGGUUUUCCAUUUUAACUAAUAUUAACCACCUUCUAAGCAAAAGAUGUGAAGUUAAAUAGAUGUACUAUUUGGGUAAAAAUGUACACAUGGUCAUUAUAAAAAUUCAAAUAGUAUAGAUAAGUAUAUCCCAAAUUCUGUUUCUCAAAGAUAACCACUAUAAACUUUUUGGUGAAAAUUUCUUCUCUAUCCAUGAUACAUGCAUACAUAUGAACAAAAAUGGGAAAGGAGGUGUGGUGAAACUGAAGCCCUCCACAGGUAGUCCAUUCCAACAGCCAUAUAAUUUGCUUUGCCUACUGGUAAGACAAUUUAGGUAAUGUGUUCAGUAGCUUAAAAUACAUUGUAUCCUGUUACCUCUGUGAUUUAAUGAUUUAUCUGUCUUUUAAAUAUUCUGAAGUGCAAAGAAUUAUUUCUGAUGCUUCUCAUACUGUAAAAUAAUUUAAAUUAUGACUAGAAAAUCCCUUCCUAUUUUGGUACAUCUUAUUGCACAGCUUUUGGUAGGAAAGAACAGACACCUGCAUUUUUUUGCUCUUAGUUCCUCAUUAGCAGAGAUUGUGAGUACGGUUCCAUUCAACUGUUUGAGGGAAAAGGGUUAGGAAAUGUUGGGUAUGAAUCAGUGAAAAAGUGACUAGAAGCAUUUGCAAUACUAGUCUAUUGGUUCAGUCACUAUUAUGUCUUCUAGCACAAAGUUUGAUAUCAUGAAACUAUAUUAUGGCUUUACCAUACCCAUAUUAAAUUUUAAAACUUUAUGUAAAUUUUUAUUUGAAAAUAUCUUCUAUAGAAGAUAAAAUUCCAUACACCUGGUCUUUUGAGUACUUUUCUCCUACUCCAAAUAUCUACAAAUCAUUUUUUUUUCUUUCAGGUCUAGAUUUUAUCUCUCUUGUCCUUAUUCUAAUCUGGACCCACACUUUUCUUCUUCCUUCCAUUCUGAAGACUGUAGCUCUAAUUAGACCCCUAGCCUGGGAACCUCCAUAUGCCGCGGGAAUGGCCCAAGAAAAGGCAAAAAGACCAAAAAAA